RNAcentral lists this ribosomal RNA (254 nucleotides) under uncultured bacterium. RNAcentral's name for it is "partial 16S ribosomal RNA". It matches the Rfam family "Bacterial small subunit ribosomal RNA", at positions 524 to 776 of the family's 1533-position model. The record is from RNAcentral.
UACGUAGGUGGCAAGCGUUGUCCGGAAUUAUUGGGCGUAAAGCGCGCGCAGGCGGCUUCUUAAGUCUGAUGUGAAAUCUCGGGGCUCAACCCCGAGCGGCCAUUGGAAACUGGGAAGCUUGAGUACAGAAGAGGAGAGUGGAAUUCCACGUGUAGCGGUGAAAUGCGUAGAUAUGUGGAGGAACACCAGUGGCGAAGGCGACUCUCUGGUCUGUAACUGACGCUGGAGGAGCGAAAGCGUGGGGAGCGAACAGG